This 155-nucleotide ribosomal RNA is filed under the name Thanatephorus cucumeris. RNAcentral's name for it is "5.8S ribosomal RNA". It matches the Rfam family "5.8S ribosomal RNA". Rfam says of the family: 5.8S ribosomal RNA (5.8S rRNA) is a component of the large subunit of the eukaryotic ribosome. It is transcribed by RNA polymerase I as part of the 45S precursor that also contains 18S and 28S rRNA. Lineage: Eukaryota; Fungi; Basidiomycota; Agaricomycetes; Cantharellales; Ceratobasidiaceae. The record is from RNAcentral.
AAGUUUCAACAACGGAUCUCUUGGCUCUCGCAUCGAUGAAGAACGCAGCGAAAUGCGAUAAGUAAUGUGAAUUGCAGAAUUCAGUGAAUCAUCGAAUCUUUGAACGCACCUUGCGCUCCUUGGUAUUCCUUGGAGCAUGCCUGUUUGNGUAUCAU